Pangasianodon gigas (Mekong giant catfish) is the source of this 75-nucleotide non-coding RNA. The record is from the annotation of a GenBank genome assembly. Lineage: Eukaryota; Metazoa; Chordata; Actinopteri; Siluriformes; Pangasiidae.
UAUGCAGAACUUUUCUCUCAUAAAUAUUAACAUCUACACUCUAAUAUAACACCAUACACCCUAUUACAUACCACA